Molecule: long non-coding RNA, 1193 nt
Organism: Lotus japonicus
Lineage: Eukaryota; Viridiplantae; Streptophyta; Magnoliopsida; Fabales; Fabaceae
Exons: 2
Source: RefSeq, a predicted model, not a curated record
AAAUUUCAAUUUGCACCCAGACCCCCAUUUUCUCCUCUCUCUCUCUCACACACUCACAGUCAGACUCACCCUCUCAGGAACGCUCACCACACCCUCACCCUCUCACUCUCACUAGGUCUGGCCAUCAUCAAGAUUGAAGCACACACGCACGACACGACGCACCGCCACCGGCCAUCACCACGCAACGCCACUACCGUCCACCAAUCCAGCCGCCCCUCUGCAGCUCUAACCCUAGGUGUCUAUUGAUUGAUUGGGAGAAAACUCUUAGAUUGGGGAAAAACUCAAACCAGAGUUGUGGAUUUAGCCCAAUUGAGAGAUUGGAUGAAUUUUGCUGCUCUAUGUAUGAUUGGAUGGCCAAUCCAAGGUACUUCAUUGGUUUUCUCUGAAGAUGUGUUCUUUUUCUUGCUGUGACCGGUGGGGGUUCUGUUUUUUUUACUGUACUGUGUGAAGUAGUUUUUUUUUUUCUGAAAAAUUAAAACAACGCAACUGCUACUUCCUUGUUGAUUUGAAGAAUUUUAUAUAAAUGGCAUGGCAAAAGAUACAGUUUUGAGAUCUUUGCAACCAACAAGGUUUUGGGACGUCAAUAAGAUAUAAUUACCUAUCUAGUAUCUACAAUCAAAGAAUGGUCCGAAGUGUGUCCAAGAGAUUUUGGGUAGUCCGCUGUUCCUGGGUUGCUUGCAACUCUUGCAAUGGCAUAUCUUCAUAACACAUUUUAUGGUAAGCUAAUUCCUGUGCCAAGUUCAUUAGAGUAGAACUUGAUGUCAAUCUUUGGUAAAUGCUUGGAGGAAGUUGUAUCUCAUUUGGCACCUGUGCUGGUACCAUUGUAGCACUGUUUUGGAUUGAAGAAUCCAUAUGAGAAGGCCUAGUUUAGGUGAUUGUUGUGGGUCUGAAGAGUAUUAGCUGGCCUUUAUGUUUUGUGAGUGCACCUGGGGUACUGAAUACCCUGUUUUUGUACUCUGUUUCUGAUUCCUCUUCUCUUCUUUUUUUCAUUUUCCUUUGUUCCAUAAUAUAUCUCUCUGGGUUGAGGUACCCCUAGUACCUCUAUAAUACAAUUUUGUUUACCAAAAAAAACUCUAUGCUCCACACUCUUGAAUUUAUUGUUUGUCAUAAGUUGGAUCAAAGAAAUUGGUUCACUGAUUAUGUAUUCAAUUAUUUAACAAGAACUGGUUCCAAUUCAAAAUAGUUUUAUUUUA